Long non-coding RNA from Hylaeus anthracinus, 532 nucleotides. RefSeq lists it as uncharacterized. The record is from RefSeq and is a predicted model, not a curated record. The transcript has 4 exons. Lineage: Eukaryota; Metazoa; Arthropoda; Insecta; Hymenoptera; Colletidae.
ACACUAGAAUUCAAGGAAAUGUUACAGCGCAAUUGUAGUUUUCUGAUUUAAGAUAAAGAUUGUAAUUGCACAGUAACAAGUAUAAAUACAUAAGCAGUCAGAGUACGAUACAGUCUUUUUUUUAAAUACGGCACGUAAGAUGAAGUGGCUUAAUAUUCAAAUCUUUCUUCUUGUGGUGUUUUGCAUCAUGGCAUCUGUGAUGUCCAUAAAUUCUGAACCUUCUAUGGCUGGACAUCAUGAUGCAGGAGUAGGAGUUGCAUGUCGAGGGGGUGGUCGAAGACGACCACACGGACCACCACCAAAUGGUGGCGGAAAUGGAACAGACACCGGAAGUAACAAUGGCGGAACGGAUACAGAGGUUUGAGAAACUGGACUGGACUCUUCAGGUGUUGGGACAAUGACGAUUAAGGGCGAUAAGGUGUUAAGCAUAAAAAAAUUAAAUAAUCAGGAAACUAUAGAGUAUAAUUUAUAUUUUGUGUAAUUAUAUUUUUUUGUAAAAAUAAAGUGUCGUUAUAUAUACAUAUAGAAAGUA